RNAcentral lists this ribosomal RNA (496 nucleotides) under uncultured bacterium. RNAcentral describes it as "partial 16S ribosomal RNA". It matches the Rfam family "Bacterial small subunit ribosomal RNA", at positions 28 to 506 of the family's 1533-position model. The record is from RNAcentral.
GACGAACGCUGGCGGCGUGCCUAAUACAUGCAAGUAGAACGCUGAAGAGAGGAGCUUGCUCUUCUUGGAUGAGUUGCGAACGGGUGAGUAACGCGUAGGUAACCUGCCUUGUAGCGGGGGAUAACUAUUGGAAACGAUAGCUAAUACCGCAUAACAAUGGAUGACACAUGUCAUUUAUUUGAAAGGGGCAAUUGCUCCACUACAAGAUGGACCUGCGUUGUAUUAGCUAGUAGGUGAGGUAAUGGCUCACCUAGGCGACGAUACAUAGCCGACCUGAGAGGGUGAUCGGCCACACUGGGACUGAGACACGGCCCAGACUCCUACGGGAGGCAGCAGUAGGGAAUCUUCGGCAAAGGGGGCAACCCUGACCGAGCAACGCCGCGUGAGUGAAGAAGGUUUUCGGAUCGUAAAGCUCUGUUGUAAGUCAAGAACGGGUGUGAGAGUGGAAAGUUCACACUGUGACGGUAGCUUACCAGAAAGGGACGGCUAACUACGU